UUAGAGUUUGAUCCUGGCUCAGGACGAACGCUGGCGGCGUGCCUAAUACAUGCAAGUCGAGCGAGCGGAACUAACAGAUUUACUUCGGUAAUGACGUUAGGAAAGCGAGCGGCGGAUGGGUGAGUAACACGUGGGGAACCUGCCCCAUAGUCUGGGAUACCACUUGGAAACAGGUGCUAAUACCGGAUAAGAAAGCAGAUCGCAUGAUCAGCUUUUAAAAGGCGGCGUAAGCUGUCGCUAUGGGAUGGCCCCGCGGUGCAUUAGCUAGUUGGUAAGGUAAAGGCUUACCAAGGCGAUGAUGCAUAGCCGAGUUGAGAGACUGAUCGGCCACAUUGGGACUGAGACACGGCCCAAACUCCUACGGGAGGCAGCAGUAGGGAAUCUUCCACAAUGGACGCAAGUCUGAUGGAGCAACGCCGCGUGAGUGAAGAAGGUUUUCGGAUCGUAAAGCUCUGUUGUUGGUGAAGAAGGAUAGAGGUAGUAACUGGCCUUUAUUUGACGGUAAUCAACCAGAAAGUCACGGCUAACUACGUGCCAGCAGCCGCGGUAAUACGUAGGUGGCAAGCGUUGUCCGGAUUUAUUGGGCGUAAAGCGAGCGCAGGCGGAAGAAUAAGUCUGAUGUGAAAGCCCUCGGCUUAACCGAGGAACUGCAUCGGAAACUGUUUUUCUUGAGUGCAGAAGAGGAGAGUGGAACUCCAUGUGUAGCGGUGGAAUGCGUAGAUAUAUGGAAGAACACCAGUGGCGAAGGCGGCUCUCUGGUCUGCAACUGACGCUGAGGCUCGAAAGCAUGGGUAGUGAACAGGAUUAGAUACCCUGGUAGUCCAUGCCGUAAACGAUGAGUGCUAAGUGUUGGGAGGUUUCCGCCUCUCAGUGCUGCAGCUAACGCAUUAAGCACUCCGCCUGGGGAGUACGACCGCAAGGUUGAAACUCAAAGGAAUUGACGGGGGCCCGCACAAGCGGUGGAGCAUGUGGUUUAAUUCGAAGCAACGCGAAGAACCCUACCAGGUCUUGACAUCUAGUGCCAUUUGUAGAGAUACAAAGUUCCCUUCGGGGACGCUAAGACAGGUGGUGCAUGGCUGUCGUCAGCUCGUGUCGUGAGAUGUUGGGUUAGGUCCCGCAACGAGCGCAACCCUUGUUAUUAGUUGCCAGCAUUAAGUUGGGCACUCUAAUGAGACUGCCGGUGACAAACCGGAGGAAGGUGGGGAUGACGUCAAGUCAUCAUGCCCCUUAUGACCUGGGCUACACACGUGCUACAAUGGGCAGUACAACGAGAAGCGAGCCUGCGAAGGCAAGCGAAUCUCUGAAAGCUGUUCUCAGUUCGGACUGCAGUCUGCAACUCGACUGCACGAAGCUGGAAUCGCUAGUAAUCGCGGAUCAGCACGCCGCGGUGAAUACGUUCCCGGGCCUUGUACACACCGCCCGUCACACCAUGGGAGUCUGCAAUGCCCAAAGCCGGUGGCCUAACCUUCGGGAAGGAGCCGUCUAAGGCAGGGCAGAUGACUGGGGUGAAGUCGUAACAAGGUAGCCGUA
RNAcentral lists this ribosomal RNA (1530 nucleotides) under uncultured bacterium. RNAcentral's name for it is "16S ribosomal RNA". It matches the Rfam family "Bacterial small subunit ribosomal RNA". The record is from RNAcentral.